CAGAAAAUGGCCGCACCCAGGCAGUUUCGUAGCCGUUUUGAAAACGCAGGAAAGACGCGACCGUACUGCAAAUCUUUGGGUCCAUACAAUAACGAACGCGCUUGGAGCCGAGAACUGGGGAAUGUUGAGGUUCACAGAAAAUUAUGCCUCAGCAUGGGUUGUACCCGGAGCCUUUGUGGAUACUGAUUUACAUGAUGAGAUUUGGCCCUUUUGAGCUGCUAAGAUUUGGUUGAGAUUCUGAGGAUCAGAUGGGACAGUCUGGAAGAAUGGAUAGAGAAAGAGGAAGGUCCAAGAUAAGAGCUUCACGCACUCCAAGCUUUAGAAUUCUGGGAGAAGGAUAUGCACUGAGAAUAUGACAAGCUCACUCAGAGACAAUCAAACCCUAUCUGUGCUGAUUGGACAAAUAAGCAAUAUGGAUUGGACAUCAGAAUGCAGGAUCUGCCCUGACUGGUGUGGCCCAGUGGAUCAGGUGUCAUCCUGCAAAGCAAAAGAUCACCGGUUGAAUACAGUUCAAUACUUGGUCAGUGCACAUGCAUGAGUUGUGAGCCAAGUUUCCAGUUGGGGCAUGUUGUAAGAAGCAACCAAUCGAUGUUUCUCUCUCACAUCAAUGUUUCUGUCCCUCUCUCUCCCCCUCU
Molecule: long non-coding RNA, 635 nt
Organism: Phyllostomus hastatus (greater spear-nosed bat)
Lineage: Eukaryota; Metazoa; Chordata; Mammalia; Chiroptera; Phyllostomidae
Exons: 3
Source: RefSeq, a predicted model, not a curated record